UACGUAGGGCGCAAGCGUUGUCCGGAAUUAUUGGGCGUAAAGAGCUCGUAGGCGGUUUGUCGCGUCUGCUGUGAAAACCUAAGGCUCAACCUUGGGCUUGCAGUGGGUACGGGCAGACUAGAGUGCGGUAGGGGAGUGUGGAAUUCCCGGUGUAGCGGUGAAAUGCGCAGAUAUCGGGAGGAACACCAGUGGCGAAGGCGGCACUCUGGGCCGGUACUGACGCUGAGGAGCGAAAGCGUGGGGAGCGAACAGG
Molecule: ribosomal RNA, 253 nt
Filed under: uncultured bacterium
Lineage: Bacteria
Description: partial 16S ribosomal RNA
Rfam family: Bacterial small subunit ribosomal RNA
Source: RNAcentral